RNAcentral lists this long non-coding RNA (616 nucleotides) under Penaeus japonicus. RNAcentral describes it as "uncharacterized LOC122249003". The record is from RNAcentral. Lineage: Eukaryota; Metazoa; Arthropoda; Malacostraca; Decapoda; Penaeidae.
UGCACGGAGGGGGGAUGGGGGGGUGAGAACGGGACCAGCUGAUCGUAACACCUCGCUGACCCGCCACCAGAGGGCACCGCCGACCACGUGUAUCUGUGUCCCUAGUGUUUGUGUGUGUCUCGCUGUGUGUGCGUCGUCUGUUGUAACUGUUAUUACCGUUGUUCCGUCGGGUGUGCGUGUGCAUGAAUGUACUGACUGUUUUGAGGUGGCUGUCGAUCUAUCAGGGAGCAGGAUGCGGCCAGGUGCCUCUCCUACUGGCUCCUCAACGGCCCCUCCCCUGCUGCUGACGCCCCUGAUCCUGCUCCUGCUGGCCCUUGCUUGUUCGCUCGUCAACGCAAGUAAGUACACAUCCUCUUGUUCUUACUAUAGUCUCCGCGUUUGAGGGUUACUGUUGGUACACUUAACAUACGACCGCGAUUCUAUGGCAGGCUGAGUGGUGAUCGGAGCGCCCGUCGAGGUCGCUCCACACGGCAGCCUCUCACCUUUUGCUUUUCUCUUGCGGGCGUCCUGGGAGGCGCUGCCCUUAACAGUCUUGGGGAAUGACCAAGGGACAGUCGGAGGGUGUUCUUGCUGUGAAAUUGAUCUUGGGGACAUUAUUAUCUCUAUUAAUAUCAUU